This 64-nucleotide transfer RNA is filed under the name Loxodonta africana (African savanna elephant). It matches the Rfam family "tRNA". From Rfam's summary of the family: Transfer RNA (tRNA) molecules are approximately 80 nucleotides in length. Their secondary structure includes four short double-helical elements and three loops (D, anti-codon, and T loops). The record is from Rfam by way of RNAcentral. Lineage: Eukaryota; Metazoa; Chordata; Mammalia; Proboscidea; Elephantidae.
GGCGCAGUGGUUAAGCAUUCAGCUGCUAACUGAAAAGUCGGAGGUUCAAACCCCCCCUACACUC